UACGUAGGAUCCAAGCGUUAUCCGGAAUCAUUGGGCGUAAAGCGUGUGUAGGCUUUUUGCCGCAUCUUCUGUUAAAUCCCCGGGCUCAACUCGGGAACUGUGGAAGAGAUGGGCAGAAUAGAGGUACAAAGAGGCAGAUGGAAUUGAUGGUGUAGCAGUGAAAUGCGUAGAUAUCGGGAGGAACACCUGUGGCGAAAGCGGCGCACUGGACCACAACUGACGCUGAGGCGCGAAAGCUAGGGGAGCAAACAGG
Molecule: ribosomal RNA, 253 nt
Filed under: uncultured prokaryote
Description: partial 16S ribosomal RNA
Rfam family: Bacterial small subunit ribosomal RNA
Source: RNAcentral